GAUCAAAUCUGUCCUGAACUAUGC
Molecule: non-coding RNA, 24 nt
Filed under: Cricetulus griseus (Chinese hamster)
Lineage: Eukaryota; Metazoa; Chordata; Mammalia; Rodentia; Cricetidae
Source: RNAcentral